CAACAACAAGCUGCAGGUUGGUACCAGAGUCAAAGCUCCAUCCUACAGUCAUUAUGUUCUUGUACUGAUCUGUGUCGUGUCUUUAAACUCGCUCUUCUGCUUUCAAGGCUGAUUGUGAAGAGGAGACGUAUGCUGACUUCAGUCUUCAGACUGUGGGCUCGUUCUCGUCCAUCAUCUGAGCAGUCAUCAUGGACUGGUUUCACUCUGUUUCUCUGUGGACUUUUAUUCUCAGCUUGGAUUUUGUUAAAGCAGGACAAUCCUGAAACUGUUUCAGUCUCUGUGUUUCCAAACUGAGCUGAUAAAUGUUUAAAUGAAUAAAACAGUGCAAGUGGAUUCAAGAAAGUACGAGUUGUUUUAAGUUUAACACACAAAACGAAGUAUCCGCAUGUAUCAAGUGAAUGGUACUGCCCCCUCGAUGGAGCAGCCAGCUGAUUGGUUAAAUCUUCCAAGAGCUUAUUGGUCAGGCAGUAGCUUCAGCUUUUUUGCCCGAUUUGAUGGCGCUACCACAAAAUGCUUUCAGUUUGUUUCUUGUCAUUCUUAAAGUAACAUCUGUGUUAUUAGUUGAUGUUA
Long non-coding RNA from Oreochromis niloticus (Nile tilapia), 570 nucleotides. RefSeq lists it as uncharacterized. NCBI's taxonomy places the organism in Eukaryota, Metazoa, Chordata, Actinopteri, Cichliformes, Cichlidae. The transcript has 3 exons. The record is from RefSeq and is a predicted model, not a curated record.